CCUACGGGAGGCAGCAGUGAGGAAUAUUGGUCAAUGGACGGAAGUCUGAACCAGCCAUGCCGCGUGCAGGAAGACGGCUCUAUGAGUUGUAAACUGCUUUUGUACAAGGGUAAACCUGAAUAUGUGUAUUCAACUGAAAGUACUGUACGAAUAAGGAUCGGCUAACUCCGUUCCAGCAGCCGCGGUAAUACGGAGGAUCCAAGCGUUAUCCGGAUUUAUUGGGGUUAAAGGGUGCGUAGGCGGAUUUAUAAGUGAGAGGUGAAAUGUCCGAGCUUAACUCGGGAACUGCCUUUAAAACUGUUGAUCUAGAGAGUAGGUGAGGUAGGCGGAAUGUAUGGUGUAGCGGUGAAAUGCUUAGAGAUCAUACAGAACACCGAUUGCGAAGGCAGCUUACCAAUCUAUAUCUGACGUUGAGGCACGAAAGCGUGGGGAGCAAACAGGAUUAGAUACCCCUGUAGUC
RNAcentral lists this ribosomal RNA (460 nucleotides) under uncultured bacterium. RNAcentral describes it as "partial 16S ribosomal RNA". It matches the Rfam family "Bacterial small subunit ribosomal RNA", at positions 338 to 795 of the family's 1533-position model. The record is from RNAcentral.